CACGUAGGGACCAAGCGUUGUCCGGAUUCAUUGGGCGUAAAGAGCUCGUAGGCGGUUCGAUAAGUCGGGUGUGAAACCUCCAGGCUCAACCUGGAGACGCCACCCGAUACUGUCGUGACUAGAGUCCAGUAGGGGAGCGUGGAAUUCCUGGUGUAGCGGUGAAAUGCGCAGAUAUCAGGAAGAACACCAACGGCGAAGGCAGCUCGCUGGGACGGUACUGACGCUGAGACGCGAAAGCGUGGGGAGCGAACAGG
Molecule: ribosomal RNA, 254 nt
Filed under: uncultured bacterium
Lineage: Bacteria
Description: partial 16S ribosomal RNA
Rfam family: Bacterial small subunit ribosomal RNA
Source: RNAcentral